AAUAUGUGACCUCAUUCCUUAAAUACCAUCACUUGAACAGCUCUUGUUGCUAAAAUAAAAGCAGUGUUGAUUCUCUGUUGUGAAAACUCCUACAGACCCUCUGACAAGCGCAAACUAAACCACACCUUCUUUUACUAUGAUAAAAAUGAUUGCUUAUUUGUAGCAAUUACAGUGUACCUGUAGCGGCAAUUACAGUGAAGGUAUCGCUUGCAGUUUUUAUCACAUUCACUUUAUGUUAACGUAUGACUGUCACAGAAAGCUCUGGCACAUGGAAUAAGACUAGGAAACAGACCUCAAGAAAAAUGAUCCCAGAAAGAUCUGUCUUUCAAAUCCAAGCAAAUCCAAAACAUCUGCAAGAGAAAUCAACUAACCAAUAAUGGUCCAAUGAAGCUAGUGGCCCUUAUGUUCCUUGGGAGUGUAAAGUAUUAUGGCCAAACUGAAAGUGACUGAACGAAUGCUGGAGCUCUAACCCCAGUUUCAUGCUAGAGACUCCUCCUUCUGCAGUAUGAAAUGUAGCUGCCCCCUCACCGCCUCCAUGCAUUCGGGUACGCUAAACAGAGCCCACUCGGGAACUCCUCCUGAUGCCAGGGUGUCAGUCAUUCUGCCUGACAGGAUGGCUCACCUGAAUAUCCAUCUUUGCGUACACUGCAUCCUACACAGGAGAAGGGAAGUAAGAGGAGGGUUGUUGUUCCUCUUCCUCACUCAACUUGCAGUUUGCUUGCUUUGAACAUUUCCAUGAACUAAUAAUCCCUUUAUACAGGCACAUGACGGAGAAUAAAUCAUCUGUGGGUUAAAAAUCCAUACUAACAUUGGAAUGGUAUUAAAUAUAGAAUUAUAAGUCCUUUUGGUCUUAUUGUGGUAGCUGUGUGGGUGGAAAUUGCAUCCAAAUAGACGCCAUUUUAGUUAAGUGUUACCCUAAGGGCUUUGGCCAGCUUUCCAUCUCUGAGCAGAAGGCAAGAGACCACACCAGAGCCCAACGCAGAGGUAUGUGCCAAUUUUUGCUUCGUGAACAAGCUGCCAUUUUUCCCCGCACAAGUUGCGUAAUUCAAAUUCACAUUUUGAAGGGAUGGUUAGAUCUGCUCAGAUGGCUGACCUAAACUAACAGGAGCGGUUAAACAAGUUUGCCUCUUCUGAAAACGUCUCCUCCUCUCUGUUUGUUGUUGUUUU
Molecule: long non-coding RNA, 1167 nt
Organism: Harpia harpyja (harpy eagle)
Lineage: Eukaryota; Metazoa; Chordata; Aves; Accipitriformes; Accipitridae
Exons: 4
Source: RefSeq, a predicted model, not a curated record